Long non-coding RNA from Anguilla anguilla (European eel), 855 nucleotides. RefSeq lists it as uncharacterized. The transcript is spliced from 3 exons. Lineage: Eukaryota; Metazoa; Chordata; Actinopteri; Anguilliformes; Anguillidae. The record is from RefSeq and is a predicted model, not a curated record.
UUUAAUUAGCAUGAGUAAAGUGUUAUAAUCGGUUUGCCAUGUGGCUCUCUCGAUUCGCAUUCAGCAGAGCUAGUGUUUGCUUCCUGGUUUGUAUGUAGGCGCGGAUGUGCCCUGCGGUUCUGGCCUAUCAGUGGCGAGUGUGGUACAGGAAGUGUUGGUGAGCUGUUUAUGUGCAUGCCUUGUGCAGACCAGCAAGUGCGGGUCUGUUUGGAUAGCCCCUUUGAAGGAAUAACUUAAUUGAGUUGAAUUGCUGUAACGUUGAGCUUGAGUUAGGCUAUAUUAAAAACAUUUCUUUUGACACACGUGGCAUUGUGUUUGUUUUAGAAGGAGCUUGGUUGAAGUGAAAAGCCUUUUAAAUUGUUACGCCGUUGAGCGUACGGGUGGAGAGAAUAAUUGAACUGUGUUUUGGUUACAGCACUGAGUUUUUUAUUUUUUCUCUGCUUCUGUGCUGCGGUCGCCGAUUGAGCAGGGGUAAUCGAUGGUACCACGUGUGGCCCCGACACCACGUCUGUCUGUGUCCAGGGCCAGUGUGUGAAAGCGGGCUGUGAUCAGGUGAUUGGGUCCAAACAAAAACUGGACAAGUGUGGUGUGUGUGGAGGGAAUGGUUCCAGGUGUAGGAAGGUCACUGGCUCCAUGAACAAAGCCAUGUAUGGCUAUAACGAUGUUGUGACCAUCCCAGCUGGGGCCACCAACAUCGAUGUCAAGCAGCGCAGCCAUCGUGGAGUGAAACACACACCUUGCUGUGUGAACUGACUUCCCUCCUGCAGAAUACAGAAUACUGAUUUUUUACAUGGAUUUGUCCACAGAUAAAAUGGUUUGGCUUGAAAAGUGCGAGUUAAAAUAUUUUGAUUCUUC